GCCGUAGGUGAACCUGCGGCGGGAUCAUUACUGAGUUUACGCUCUACAACCCUUUGUGAACAUACCUACAACUGUUGCUUCGGCGGGUAGGGUCUCCGCGACCCUCCCGGCCUCCCGCCUCCGGGCGGGUCGGCGCCCGCCGGAGGAUAACCAAACUCUGAUUUAACGACGUUUCUUCUGAGUGGUACAAGCAAAUAAUCAAAACUUUUAACAACGGAUCUCUUGGUUCUGGCAUCGAUGAAGAACGCAGCGAAAUGCGAUAAGUAAUGUGAAUUGCAGAAUUCAGUGAAUCAUCGAAUCUUUGAACGCACAUUGCGCCCGCCAGCAUUCUGGCGGGCAUGCCUGUUCGAGCGUCAUUUCAACCCUCAAGCUCUGCUUGGUGUUGGGGCCCUACAGCCGAUGUAGGCCCUCAAAGGUAGUGGCGGACCCUCCCGGAGCCUCCUUUGCGUAGUAACUUUACGUCUCGCACUGGGAUCCGGAGGGACUCUUGCCGUAAAACCCCCCAAUUUUCCAAAGGUUGACCUCGGAUCAGGUAGGAAUACCCGCUGAACUUAAGCAUAUCA
Molecule: ribosomal RNA, 563 nt
Filed under: Colletotrichum gloeosporioides
Lineage: Eukaryota; Fungi; Ascomycota; Sordariomycetes; Glomerellales; Glomerellaceae
Description: eukaryotic LSU rRNA
Rfam family: 5.8S ribosomal RNA (bases 203-356)
Source: RNAcentral